Molecule: ribosomal RNA, 253 nt
Filed under: uncultured bacterium
Lineage: Bacteria
Description: partial 16S ribosomal RNA
Rfam family: Bacterial small subunit ribosomal RNA
Source: RNAcentral
UACGUAGGUGGCAAGCGUUGUCCGGAUUUACUGGGCGUAAAGAGCGCGCAGGCGGUCGUUCAAGUCGCGUGUGAAAGCCCCCGGCUCAACUGGGGAGGGUCACGCGAUACUGAUCGACUCGAAGGCAGGAGAGGGAAGUGGAAUUCCCGGUGUAGUGGUGAAAUGCGUAGAUAUCGGGAGGAACACCAGUGGCGAAGGCGACUUCCUGGCCUGUUCUUGACGCUGAGGCGCGAAGGCUAGGGGAGCAAACGGG